Molecule: small nuclear RNA, 162 nt
Gene: U1
Rfam family: U1 spliceosomal RNA
About the family: U1 is a small nuclear RNA (snRNA) component of the spliceosome (involved in pre-mRNA splicing). Its 5' end forms complementary base pairs with the 5' splice junction, thus defining the 5' donor site of an intron. There are significant differences in sequence and secondary structure between metazoan and yeast U1 snRNAs, the latter being much longer (568 nucleotides as compared to 164 nucleotides in human).
Source: Ensembl
AUACUUAACUGGCAGGCGAAUACCGUGAUCAAGAAGGCGGGUCACCCAGGGCGAGGCUCAGCCAUUGCACCCCGGAUGAGCUGACUCCUGCGAAUUCCCCAAAGUGGGAAUCUCGACUGCAUAAUUUCUUGUAGUUGGGGACUGCGUACGCACUCUUCCCUG